GCGGUGAUAGCUCAGUCGGGUGAGCGCCCGCUUCUCACGCAAAAGAUGCGGGUUCCAAUCCCGGCGCUGACAUGUA
This 76-nucleotide transfer RNA is filed under the name Plutella xylostella (diamondback moth). RNAcentral describes it as "tRNA-Glu". The record is from RNAcentral. Lineage: Eukaryota; Metazoa; Arthropoda; Insecta; Lepidoptera; Plutellidae.